This 504-nucleotide ribosomal RNA is filed under the name uncultured bacterium. RNAcentral describes it as "partial 16S ribosomal RNA". It matches the Rfam family "Bacterial small subunit ribosomal RNA", at positions 28 to 523 of the family's 1533-position model. The record is from RNAcentral.
GAUGAACGCUAGCUACAGGCUUAACACAUGCAAGUCGAGGGGUAGCGAGACUAGUAGCAAUACUAGUUGUCGGCGAGCGGCGGACGGGUGAGUAACACGUAGGAAUCUGCCCUUAAGCGGGGGAUAACCAAGGGAAACUUUGGCUAAUACCGCAUAAUCUCGCGAGAGCAAAGCUGCCCGCAAGGGUGGCACUUGAGGAGGAGCCUGCGUCCGAUUAGCUAGUUGGUGGGGUAAUGGCCUACCAAGGCGAUGAUCGGUAACUGGUCUGAGAGGACGACCAGUCACACUGGGACUGAGACACGGCCCAGACUCCUACGGGAGGCAGCAGUGGGGAAUAUUGGACAAUGGGGGCAACCCUGAUCCAGCAAUGCCGCGUGUGUGAAGAAGGCCUGCGGGUUGUAAAGCACUUUAGUGAGGGAGGAAGGUGAGUGUGUUAAUAGUGCACUCAAUUGACGUUACCUCAAGAACAAGCACCGGCUAACUCUGUGCCAGCAGCCGCAGUAA